AGGGUGGUUACAAAACAUAAACUUCUAAUUUAAUGUUAAAGCUUUUAGUUUACACCCUU
This 59-nucleotide transfer RNA is filed under the name Eurytemora affinis. RNAcentral describes it as "tRNA-Ser". The record is from RNAcentral. Lineage: Eukaryota; Metazoa; Arthropoda; Copepoda; Calanoida; Temoridae.